GGGGGAUAUUGCACAAUGGAGGAAACUCUGAUGCAGCAACGCCGCGUGAAGGAAGACGGUCUUCGGAUUGUAAACUUUUGUACCUAGGGACGAUAAUGACGGUACCUAGGCAGCAAGCUCCGGCUAACUACGUGCCAGCAGCCGCGGUAAUACGUAGGGAGCGAGCGUUGUCCGGAUUUACUGGGUGUAAAGGGUGCGUAGGCGGCCAAGCAAGUCAGCUGUGAAAACUAUGGGCUUAACCCAUAGCCUGCAAUUGAAACUGUUUGGCUUGAGUGAAGUAGAGGUAGGUGGAAUUCCCGGUGUAGCGGUGAAAUGCGUAGAGAUCGGGAGGAACACCAGUGGCGAAGGCGGCCUUCUGGGCCACAACUGACGCUGAGGAGCGAAAGCUGGGGGAGCGAACA
RNAcentral lists this ribosomal RNA (401 nucleotides) under uncultured Eubacteriales bacterium. RNAcentral describes it as "bacterial SSU rRNA". It matches the Rfam family "Bacterial small subunit ribosomal RNA", at positions 356 to 774 of the family's 1533-position model. The record is from RNAcentral. Lineage: Bacteria; Bacillati; Bacillota; Clostridia; Eubacteriales.